Molecule: long non-coding RNA, 4117 nt
Filed under: Nicotiana tabacum (common tobacco)
Lineage: Eukaryota; Viridiplantae; Streptophyta; Magnoliopsida; Solanales; Solanaceae
Description: long non-coding RNA (NTAB_LNC011917)
Source: RNAcentral
CUAGACCUAGCUAAGACAAAAAAAAUUCCUAGAACUCUAACAAAAAAUGACAGCGCUGGACUCCAUUCUCGUUCAGUCGUGGACUUGUUUCUCCAGCUCUCUCUUUCUCUGGCGAAAUCGUGUAAUUCCUGGCAGGUGAACACGUGAAAAACACAGCAAACCAAACGAGCAGCAUCUCCCUUCAAAGAAAAAUCUACAUCAACAUUACCUGUAAACUAAAGUCAUUAUACGAGAUUCCAAAUCUUUGCUACAAAAUAAUUUCUCUCAUUCAAAAUUUUCAGCAUUGCACUUGUAUAACGAAAGAAUCUUCAGUUGCUUAGUUUUCAAUCCAACUCCCCUACCUCAAUAAAUUCAUCUGACAUUUUCAAGGAUCUGAUCUGACCGAAAAUUUUAGUUUAUCGUUUGGUUGGGGUCGAUUUGGGUUUCGGGCAUGUCAGUGUCAAUUCAGGUUCCAGUUCACAAUUUUGGUGUUUCAAUCCAAGGAUUGUUGUUUUGUUUAGCCCGAUUGAUUUGAAAUCUUCGGAUUUAUUCAUCAAUAAAAGGUCCAUUUCUUUUUCAUUCUCAUUUUAUUUUGUUAUAAUAUCUUGGUGCGCGCGUUGGUUGGUUUGUGAUUCUCUGUUGUUUGAGUAGCAUGUCUUAGUUUUCAUUUAAAUUAUUUUAAUUAGUUUUUAUUUUGAUUGUGAUGUGUGCAGUCUUGGUUAUUGAAUAAAUGCUUUUAAUUGGGUAGAUGAAAAAAUAAGAGUUGUUUCUUUCUUGGCAAGGAAUAAGAAUGGACCAUAAGAUGAGUCUUGAACCACGAGAAAUCUGGGCCAAAGUAAUAGAUCAUGUUAGCUAGCCUAUUUGCUCCCCAAUAAUAUCUUGUCCAUAAAUUUGGCAUCACAACAAUCUUAAAGAUUAGGAAAAUAAUUUAAAUGCGCUAGUUUCUUUAGGCUCGAUUAAUAAUAAAUCAUCGUGACUAUGGGUACGGUUCCCGUGGCAUAGUCAUGAUACGUAACCCCAAAAUUCGAGUGCACGCUGGCGUGACUCGACCCACAACUUUAAAUAAUAUUAAAAUAAACAUGUUGUAGAUUGCGGGUAUGGUUCCCGUGGCAUGAUUCACAAUAUGUAUAAAAACAACGAGUGCACGACAUCAUGACUCGUUCAAAUAAAUUCCAUAAAUCCUAAAAGCGUUUAAAUAAAUAAAAGCAAUUUGAAAGUUAAAAAUGCACAAAAGGUUUAAACAUGUAAUUAAUAAGAUAAUUAGGACAAUUAUUAAUAGUUGAGUGACCAUGCUAAAAGCACGGAACCCGAGAAUGCCUAACACCUUCUCCUGAGUUAAUAGAAUUCCUUACCUAAAUUUUUGUGUUUUGCGGACUGUAAAACAGAGUCAAACUUCCUCGAUUCGGGAUUCAAAAUAAAUCGGUGACUUGGGACACCAUAAAUUAUCCCAAAUGGCGACUCUGAAUUUGAAUAAAUAAUCCAUUUCGGUUUUGUCACUUUAAUUGGGAAAACUCCUUUAUAUCUCCCUUCGGGUAAAAAAGAGGUGUUACAGCUCUGGCGACUCUGUUGGGGAUAAGAACCCAGAAUCUCUGGUUUAGGGUUCAAAAUUCGAGCUUAGAAUAGCUGUUAUAGUUGGCUUUUAUUUAUUAUCUGAUUUUUACGUGUUUGAGCUUAAUGUGCUAAAUGUCUCUUUUUACCGCUUUGAUAUUGUUUGAACUGUAACACCCCAUAAAUUUGAAUCAGUUGUGGAUGCAUUAAAUGAGUAUUAAUGUGAUGAUUAUCAAUUGGUUAUGAUAAUAAGUGUACGAGGCAUAUCAUAAGUGAUUUGGGGUCUAAGAAAAGACCUAAGUCUAAGCCAAGUUGGAAAUUACAUGAUAGACAAAAAUUCUAAAUGAGCACGCACAAGACUAUACUUUAGACGAGCAUAUCUACAUUUAUAUAAAGUUUUAUGUGAUUAACAACCUAUCAAAUGAAAUAUCCUUGACUCUAGUUUCUAACGCUUUAAACUGUUCGUCAUUUGGACACUCAUACCAUAAAUUAUGACAAAAUUACCAAAAUUAGCGCAGAAUUUUACACUACCGCGCUGCCCCAUGCGGCGCGGUUGUGCAAAUUAACAGACCACCUCCAAAUUUCGUUUCUAAACACAUUUUUCAUUACCAAGCCGCCCCAUGCACCGCGGAUAUGCAAAUCUUCGUUUUUUUGUCAACCCGACCCUAUUUGAUAUAAAACCUUCGGGGGUUAUUUUCUCCACAUCAUUUGGACGAAUUUUAGGGUUUUCCUCCACCCUCUCAAGACCUCCAACCCCUCCCAUCUUCAAGGUAGAAAAUACCCAUUAUCUUGGUGUGAAUUCCAUCAUUUAUAAACUAGUAUUGAUGAAAUCUACACAUAAAAUACUUAGGUCUUCAAGGGAUUUUUUCAAGAACUCAAAGGAGGGUUUUGCAAAAUUUAUUCAAAAAAGGUAAUCCUACACCCUUAGACUUACAUGUAUGGAUUUAUUAAGGGAAUAAGAGUAUGAAUAAGUAUUGGAACUCUUGGUACCCAAUUUUAUUACACAACUAUUAUAGAGAUUGAAAGAUGUUUAUUUAAUAGAACUUUGUUGGUUGGGUGUGGAUGGAUGGUCAUAUAUGUGAUUUUGGAAGUUAUAAAUUGGUUAAUCAUGAUGGCGGGAUAAAUUAUUGAUGAAUGGUGGUAGUUAGAUGAACUAAUUAUAUGGUGAUGAGAUGUAUAGAUUUAUGUCUACAAGGUGUUUGAUAAUAUACCUAAAUGGCUUAAGUUAUGAAAUUUGUCACUAAUAUUGGGUUCCAUUGGAUGUUGCUAUUGUAGAUUGAAGGUUCUUAGUAUUGUGGAUCAUUGUAGUACCACUAAGGGGCGAAAUUGAGGUAUGUGAGACUAACUCUCUAUGUUUGGGAAUGUUAAUGAUUCUCCCUACACUACAUUUCUUUUAUGACAUUACUAAUUGCCUCAUAAAUAUAGUAAAGCCUAGUACCUUGAAUAAUUAUAGAACUUCUAUUCUCUAGCUUCAUAACUCGCUCAUGACUUUCAUUCUGAACAUUGUGAGCUCAGUGCGUAUUCAAUAUAGACUUGGGUUUGAUGCCCUUGAGUCUUAGUAUAGAUUACUCAGUAUGUCAUAUACAGUUGAAAUUUUAGUAUUCAUAAUCAGUUCAAGAAUUCACGUCUCAGUCUAUUCCCAUUCAGUAUGUCAGUAUUAUGUAACCCAGUAUGAUCCAGUAUUCCAGUAUCAUGUAACUCAAUGUGAUUCAGUAUUUCACUAUCAUGUAUUGCAGUAUGAUUCUCAGUUUCUGUAUUUUAAAUUCCUGAAUGUUGAACACCUGUAUUUGGGCCUGAGGCCGUAGUUUAUAUGCUUUAUGCAUACUUGGGCCUGAGGCCAUAGUUUAUGCUUUAUGCAUGUUUUGGGCCUGAGGCCGUAGUUUAUGCUUUAAUGCAUUUUUGGGCCUGAGGCCGUAGUUAUGUAUACAUAUACUUGGGCCUGAGGCCGUAGCUUGUGCACAUAUAUAUAUUGGGCCCGAGGCCGUAGCUAUUCAGAUAAACAGGUUGUUCAUUAUUCAGAAGAGGGAGUAUUCAUAUCCUUACUUCCUUUGUUCAGUUUCUGUUAUCAGUUAUCAUUUCAGUUACCAGCUAUCAUUUCAGUUAUCAGUUAUUAUCUCAGCUAUCAGUUAUCAGCUAUUAGUUAUCAUUUUAGUUUCAGUUUCAAUAGUUAUUAUUUCAGUUAUCAAUUAUCAAUUCUCAGUUAUCAGCUCAAUUUUAGUUUCAACAUUUAUAAUUCUUUCUUUCAGUUGCUUUACAUACCAAUGCAAUUCAAAUGUACUGAUGUCUCUUUUGCUCGGGGCCUACAUCUCACAAUGCAGGCAAUGAUUUACGGGUUGAUGAUUCAGAGCGCUAGGAUUAUCGUACCAGCUAUUUGGUGAUCCCCAGUUCUUUCGGGGCAUUAUCAUUACUUUAUAGUCUUUCAGCAUUUACAGAUAGUCAGUAUUUUCAGUACUUCAUUAGAUGCUUCAUAGACUAGAGUAACAGCUAGAGAGAGUCGCAGGCUUUUUAUAUUAAGCUAUUUUAUCAACAAACAUGUUUCAGAACUGUAUUAGUAUUUCCGUACUUUGAUUUUUAUCAUUCAGACUUUCAG